GACGAACGCUGGCGGCGUGCUUAACACAUGCAAGUCGAACGGAAAGGCCCUGCUUUUGUGGGGUGCUCGAGUGGCGAACGGGUGAGUAACACGUGAGUAACCUGCCCUUGACUUUGGGAUAACUUCAUGAAACUGGGGCUAAUACCGGAUAGGAACUCCUGCUUCAUGGUGGGGGUUGGAAAGUUUCGGCGGUUGGGGAUGGACUCGCGGCUUAUCAGCUUGUUGGUGGGGUAGUGGCUUACCAAGGCUUUGACGGGUAGCCGGCCUGAGAGGGUGACCGGCCACAUUGGGACUGAGAUACGGCCCAGACUCCUACGGGAGGCAGCAGUGGGGAAUAUUGCACAAUGGGCGGAAGCCUGAUGCAGCAACGCCGCGUGCGGGAUGACGGCCUUCGGGUUGUAAACCGAUUUCGCCUGUGACGAAGCGUGAGUGACGGUAAUGGGUAAAGAAGCACCGGCUAACUACGUG
RNAcentral lists this ribosomal RNA (468 nucleotides) under uncultured bacterium. RNAcentral describes it as "partial 16S ribosomal RNA". It matches the Rfam family "Bacterial small subunit ribosomal RNA", at positions 28 to 507 of the family's 1533-position model. The record is from RNAcentral.